This is a long non-coding RNA of Mirounga angustirostris (Northern elephant seal), 637 nucleotides long. RefSeq lists it as uncharacterized. NCBI's taxonomy places the organism in Eukaryota, Metazoa, Chordata, Mammalia, Carnivora, Phocidae. The record is from RefSeq and is a predicted model, not a curated record. The transcript is spliced from 5 exons.
AGACAGAUCUGCUUAUAGACUUCCACUGUCAAAGGGAAUAUGCUACAUUUGAAGAAAAAAAAUGAACAGGUUCUUCCAACAUUUCAACUCUACUCUUGAAUUGCUAUGUUGUAAAACAAAAAUGUUCUGAUAGCAAAGAUUAUUCUGAAAGGUGGAUCAAGACGGGAGAAAAGGAGACGGGAGAGCAGCAAUGUUUAACUGAAGUAAUAAAAGAGUUUCAAUGUAAACAACACAUGGAAUAAAGAACUUUGGGGCACAAUGGUCAUUGACAUCAAUAUGGCAGGGAGGUGGGGAGCAAUGCAAGGAAUAUCAGGCAAGCCAGACGUUUCAGGAAAUAAAUGGAAGAAGGCGUAUUUCUUUACGGGAAUGAAGACGGAUGGCUUUCUGCGUUUAGUCCGCAAAGAAUGCCUACGUUGAAAGAACGAACUGAAUAACCACCAUAUGAAGCCCACAUGGAACAAAGCAUGAAAAGCAUGUAAUAAUCUUUUUGACUGGGAACAAAGUCACAGGCCUUGCGUUACAGCUGCAAACACUCGGGCCAGAACUCCAACCCCAGCUCAACCCACCCCCGGGGGGGAGGGAGCAGAGGAAGUGUUCAACACCAGCCGCCAAACCUUACAGACACAUCGACUCUCCG